RNAcentral lists this ribosomal RNA (273 nucleotides) under uncultured bacterium. Its description in RNAcentral is "partial 16S ribosomal RNA". It matches the Rfam family "Bacterial small subunit ribosomal RNA", at positions 1219 to 1500 of the family's 1533-position model. The record is from RNAcentral.
CACGUACUACAAUGGCUAUAACAAAGGGAAGCGAAACAGUGAUGUGAAGCGAAACUCAAAAAAGUAAGUCUCAGUUCGGAUUGAAGGCUGAAAUUCGCCUUCAUGAAGCCGGAAUUGCUAGUAAUGGCAGGUCAGCAUACUGCCGUGAAUACGUUCCCGGGCCUUGUACACACCGCCCGUCACACCAUGGAAGUUGGGGGCGCCCGAAGUUGGUCGGGAAAUAGAUUACCUAAGGCGAAACCAAUGACUGGGGUGAAGUCGUAACAAGGUAAC